RNAcentral lists this ribosomal RNA (241 nucleotides) under uncultured bacterium. RNAcentral describes it as "partial 16S ribosomal RNA". It matches the Rfam family "Bacterial small subunit ribosomal RNA", at positions 333 to 588 of the family's 1533-position model. The record is from RNAcentral.
GGAAGCCUACGGGACGCAGCAGUGGGGAAUAUUGGGCAAUGGGCGCAAGCCUGACCCAGCAACGCCGCGUGAAGGAAGAAGGCUUUCGGGUUGUAAACUUCUUUUCUCAGGGACGAAGCAAGUGACGGUACCUGAGGAAUAAGCCACGGCUAACUACGUGCCAGCAGCCGCGGUAAUACGUAGGUGGCAAGCGUUAUCCGGAUUUACUGGGUGUAAAGGGCGUGUAGGCGGGUAAGCAAGU